AGCCAAGGCUGUUUCCUGGUUGUCACUAGUUGUAAAUACCAAGACAGGAAGGCUCUCAAAGCCAUAGCCCAGAGGGGCCACUUGAUUGGCACUAGAGAAGUACCAGCAAGAUAAUGGGGGCCACGUGAGGGAAAUAAUUUACUUGAGUCCAAGCAGACUGAUCCACAAAAAUCGCAUUCAAGGAAUUCUGAAGAGUAAGACCCUGAUUCCUGGUAUCAGUCGCCCUUGAAAACCAACCUCAGUAUUACAGAGCUGCCGGUGAAAUAAAUGAUCUUUAAAGGA
This is a long non-coding RNA of Equus quagga, 282 nucleotides long. RefSeq lists it as uncharacterized. The transcript has 2 exons. The record is from RefSeq and is a predicted model, not a curated record. NCBI's taxonomy places the organism in Eukaryota, Metazoa, Chordata, Mammalia, Perissodactyla, Equidae.